Molecule: microRNA precursor, 74 nt
Filed under: Myotis myotis
Lineage: Eukaryota; Metazoa; Chordata; Mammalia; Chiroptera; Vespertilionidae
Also listed under: 1 other name
Description: mir-9193 microRNA precursor family
Source: Rfam by way of RNAcentral
UGUGCACUCAGGGGGUCCCUCAGCCCAGAUUGCGAGAGGGUGCAGGCCAGGCCGAAGAACCCCACCAGUGCACA